UUAUCAGAUUUCAGGUUUUCUGUUAUGAAUAUUGCAUGUAAAGUUAGCAUUUAACAUUUUUGCUAUUUGAUUGUGUUUGCAAGUGAUAAUGACCGCAUCAAGGAUAAAUAGAAUGGAAAUAAAAUGUGUAGAAUGAGAAACAAAACGGUGGUGAUGUGUGUAGCACAAUUAUUGCUAAAAUAUGAGGUUGCAGGUUAAUUAUGUACAAGUAAUAUCUUAGCAACACAUCAGAAU
RNAcentral lists this long non-coding RNA (234 nucleotides) under Panax ginseng (ginseng). RNAcentral's name for it is "long non-coding RNA (PGIN_LNC008208)". The record is from RNAcentral. Lineage: Eukaryota; Viridiplantae; Streptophyta; Magnoliopsida; Apiales; Araliaceae.